UCCCGUAUUGCACUUACUGUUUUGUUACAUUCCCGUAUCCCGCUUACACUAUGUGCGUAAGCAAUUCUCAUUUUUUUGUCAUUUUCUGGGUCCCACAAGACCUCAUUUCCCGUUUUCACCACACAAUAAUUUGACUUUCACGUUUCACGCUUACGAAAAAUCGGCAAUCCCGCAUCACGCUUAGACCCCAAUGAGACCCACCUGA
This 205-nucleotide long non-coding RNA is filed under the name Mytilus galloprovincialis (Mediterranean mussel). Lineage: Eukaryota; Metazoa; Mollusca; Bivalvia; Mytilida; Mytilidae. The record is from RNAcentral.